Molecule: non-coding RNA, 324 nt
Organism: Vicia faba (fava bean)
Lineage: Eukaryota; Viridiplantae; Streptophyta; Magnoliopsida; Fabales; Fabaceae
Source: the annotation of a GenBank genome assembly
AUGCAAAAUCCCUCUUCUCUCAAAGGAAAACAAAAUCCACCGCACAGCCUUCAUCUUCGAUCAAUGCACAACGGGCGUCCGUGUCCGACACCAUUCUUCUUCCUCGCCUAUUCAAUUUCAAAAAACCCUAACGUACUCACUAUGCCAGCGAUUCAAGUGGCAAUUUAUGGGGGCUUUACUUCUAAUCUUCACUUCUACCAAUUCUCAUCAAGAAAAGCAGAGAAAGAGAUAAACAAAAUGUGUGUGUGUUGCUUACCUACCGGGAGAACUGUCGGAGCUUAUUCAACAAUCGUUGCAACGACAAGAAAUCUAGAGAUUUGUUGA